UGAGGAGAGAUGGGGUUCGACUCCGCCUCAGCCAUCCUGGAAGUGGUUUUCCGUAGUUUCCCACUUCCUUCUGGACAAAUGCCGGGAUGGUUUCAUGCAUAAUGCCACGGCCGUCUCCAUGCCUUCCUUACUCUAUCCCUUCCUUCACCUUUCUUUAAGACGUCUCAUCGGCUGAUUACCUGGGUGAUUGGGUGAUCUCCAUCCCCAGCUGUAUCCAGAUCCAGUGAAUUCACCUCCUAGAC
This 242-nucleotide ribosomal RNA is filed under the name uncultured bacterium. RNAcentral describes it as "partial 16S ribosomal RNA". The record is from RNAcentral.